This 9711-nucleotide long non-coding RNA is filed under the name Sarcophilus harrisii (Tasmanian devil). RNAcentral's name for it is "lncRNA (ENSSHAG00000031988.1)". The record is from RNAcentral. Lineage: Eukaryota; Metazoa; Chordata; Mammalia; Dasyuromorphia; Dasyuridae.
CUUUAGGAAAGGCUAACGAAAGCCAACUUUAUGGCUUCAGUUUUUUAACCUAUAUAUUAAUGGGAUUUGGUACAGUUGAAUUCCAAGAUUUCUAAGAGUUCUAACCUACCAAUCAUCUUUCUCCUAUAACAAGCUGUUUUCUAUUGAGCAGAAUGUUAGCCACCUUUGCCUUUCUCAUUUCAUGUGCUUUGGAGCAGUUGCUAUAGAUAAUUGUGGCCAUGUGCCAUCAUCCCAGAAGGUAAAGACAUGAUGUUUGCUGGAUUUCUCUGAAUUCUUAUUUCCUGACCUCCUUUAUAUCACUGCUUUCCUAUUUCAGUUCCUAUAUAUGGUAUCCCCAAUAUCUAGCUCUGUUUUUCUAUAUAUCCCAACUCACAUUUUCUGAUUGGACCUCCACCCAUGAACUGCCAUCAACAACUUAUGUUGAGUACCUGGUUAAAAUACUCUGAUAAAGGCCUUGUUUCUCAAAUGUAUGGAAAACAGUCGAAUUUAUCAAUUUUUAAAGCCAUUUUCCAAUUAAUAAACAAUUAAAAAAUAUGAACUUCACCUAAAAGUCUAUAAAAUCUUGCCUUUCCUAUGAUCACUUACCACUAAGUUCCCAAAAGGGAAUGAUUUAAAAAAGGAAAGAACUUAUUGUAUGUGUUUAUGAUGGAUUAUCAAAGUUUUAUAAGAAAUGAUGACAGAAAGCUCAGGGAAAGUCUUCCUCAUAUGAGCUCAAUCACAAUGAAAUGUACUGUGUACACAGUAAUAACAAUGUUGUGAAAUUACCACCUGGAAACAACUUUGCUAUGCUCACAAUACAAUGAUCCACAACUACUUUGAAGGCUUUAUGAAAAAUGCUGUUCAUACCCUGACAAAGAAGUGAUUUGUGUCUGAAUAUAGGUUGAAGCAUACUGAUCAUUUUUACUUUUAUUUCUUGAGGGUUUCUUUUGGGGGGGGGGGAGUGAAAUCUGUUUUCUUCAUAACUAUUAUGGAAAUCUUAUGCAUACCUUCACAUGUGUCUUCCCUAUGUGGGGAAGGGAGAAUAAAGUUUUAAAAAACAAAUGUAAAAAAUUGUUUUAUAUGUAAUUGGCGAAGUAAUUUUAAAACAAAAAAAGGCAAUCUGGGAAAUAAAGAGAAAAAAAGGAUGAAACUCCUUAGGCCUGGAUAAGGUUUUUUACACAAAAGGGACAGAAACCCUAGGGACAGGGGACUCUCCCUUUGGGGGGUUGCACAUUCCCUUCCUCCACCCUUUCCCCUAAGCCAAAUUAUUUUCCCAAUGAUCUGAUUUGGGCAUAGGCAGGGCAAGGAAAGUCAUCCCAUUCAGAGGUUAAUAGCCCAAGAUACUGAGGCAAAUAUUGUAUGUUGGAUAAAGAACAUCAACUCAAAUAAUCAAGGAGAUUUCUCAAGGUGAAAGCAGUAAGGAUUUUUAUGGCUGUCUCAUGAGAAUGGGUGUCUCCCUCUGAACAAGCAGUCAGGCCAAGGAGAGGCCAGGUAAAGGAGGAGAGUAUCAGAUUAAAUAUGUCCUGCAUAUACAUCUCUGGGAGACAGACUCACAAUCUUAAUAAACCAGGAAAGCUAUUCCAGGUACAAAUAAGGGAGUAAAAAAUCCAGCCACUUCAGCCACUAUGAACUCAUAAAAAAAGCAUUCACAACUUUAUUUGGCCUAACCUUGUUGAUGUGGCAAAAUCUUAAAAAAUAACACUCAAGGUGGGACUUCCUGAAGUUCCUACUUCUGGUAAUUCAGAUGAUUUUUGGUAAAUGAAACUGAGGUUUAGGGUUGGAACAAAUUAUCCUAGAACUAGAACUAAUUACUUUUCACAGUAGAUCCCUUUAUUUUUUGACUCUAUGAAGACUUCUCACACCAUUGCUUAUAUAUACUUUGUUUUCUUCUUCAUUGUCAUUUUUUCCCCAUCAAGGUCAGAUCUUUCUUCUACAACAACAGGAGACCACCCUUGACCUCUGACCUCUUAAAGAGUCAUUAACCUGAAAGAUCCUCCAUCCUGACCCCUUAUUCUAAUCAUCCUGGAUCUAGCAAUAGAUCUAUCAACACAUAACUUCGUCAAAUAUUCACUUACCAACUUUAUGAUAUAAUGACAUAUUUGCAGAUAGAAAACUGCAAGAUUGUACAUACUUGAAUUGUGUUCAUGGCUUCUACUGACCACUUGUUCUGAUUCUAGAAACUUGCCAUCAGAAGAAAAAGCAGGGACAUGCUUAUAUUAUACUAACAUCAAAACUGGUCUUUCAGGCCUUAGCUUAAGAGCACAUACAUGACAGGAUAAAUCUUUCAUAGGCUCAGUUUGAUUUCGGGUAUUUGUCACACUUUUCAAGUAAGCAUGUAGUAAGAAUUCCACUGUAUAGCCAGACUCAGAAAUAAUCAGGUGAGUUCUUAUUCAAAAAAGCACACCACUGGGAAAUUCAGAUCAAAGGAUCCCACCUUAAGAGGAGGGAAAGGGAAAGGGUGUUCUUCCAACUCUUGUCCAGAUUCUAAUCUCAUCUAUAACAAUUUUUCUGAGUAGCUUAUGACAUAUUGCUUUCAGGAGAUAAGUAACUAACUGAUUUGAUUAUUCAUCAGACACUCAUACCUGAAUUCAUAACUGCAAACAUCACUACUUGCAAUCCUAAGAGAUUGCACCUCAAAUAGCAAGUUUCUUUCAAGGUAUCAGGUGAAUUGAGCCUUCAAGGAUCACUAAAUAAAUAUUGACGAUGAUCUUGCAUUGAAUAAUAGUAAAAGAUUCAUCCUAGAAAGUUCAUAGCUUACCUUUCAUAUCUGAGUAAAUGGUUUUUAAGUUCAACAUUACACAAAUCAUUUUUAUUUAAAAUGCUAAAUAAACCCAAAUUCUUAGAAUCCUUGUAAAUAAGGGGUGCAGCUUUAAGAUGCUUCAAUAAAACUAAUUAAAACAGUUUUUACUAAACUUCAUUUACUUAAAACUUAAAAAUAACAUUUUUGACUUUUUUAUAAUAAAAUUCAUUCUGAUAGAGGUAAACAUAACAAAUCAUCUUUACACAACAAAAUUAUAGAUGAUCAAUAAACCCAUUUAUUGUUUGGAAACUAUUAGUACAUAAACUUUUUUCCCUAGGGCUGACAAGGUAGAUCCAGGAAACAUUCAAAUAGGACAAUCAACAAGGGUCCCAUAGGAAGGAUGAUCUUGAUGCUCCUUCCUGUUUACCACAACUACUCUUGGAAUUUUUCUGUGGGAUGUGCUCUUUUGACAUCACCAAAACAUUUUUAAUUUCCCUUAUGCAAAGUCAAAUUUUUGAGGUUAAAAAUUGUCCUUAAGCCAUAUCUUGAGGUUCCUUCACAAGUCCUUCUAACCUUGGUGUAAUGAGUCUAUAUCUUCUCUGUCUCUACACUGCAGUCUCAGUCAUCGAAACAUCCGAUAAGGUCCUUCCCACUUCAAACCUUCCAAGAUUUCAAAGGCACUCAAUCUCCUGGAAGUGCAGACUCCCAAGGUGUUGUCUGGGUCAGCAGUUCUUGCUUCCUGGGUGAUGAAAAGGAUAAGGACACACUGCCAGGAUAUAAUUCCUUAAAACUUUUUUUCAAGAGAGGGCAUUUUUCCCUUUCCCUUCCUUAUAUGAUAAGCCAAAAAAUACCAUCUCACAGGGGGAAAAACCCAGACCAUUUCUGGGUACUGUUCUUAUUUCUGUUAACAAAAAAAUAGGCAAACAUUUGUUUGGUCCAAAGCCAUAUGGUAUCCAAUAUCAAUUUAGUAAUUUGUUUCUUAAGAACCUGAUUCAUUCUUUGUACUUUCACUGAAAAGAGCAGAUGAACUUUAAAAUUUUCUCCAUUUUAACCCUUCUCAAGAUAGCAGAACACAGGUGAAAGUGUCUAUCCAUCUUAUCAUAUGGUCCUCUGUAAGCAAAUACUUCAGUUGUCCCACUAGCAUUCAUUUCAGUAAAAUCAAACUUGAACAUUGGGGGCUAGGCUCCCGCAAUCCCUCUGAAACUCCCUAACAUCAAUAAAUUGUUUACUGUCAUGAGUUUUCUCUGGUUUCUUAUGGAGCAAAAUAGGAAUACUAUUGAAAGUGGACACACAUACUUUCCCUAGUCCAUCCCUUUGUUACUGAUUGUAAUCUUAUUUUCCCCCCAGUGAUAUAAAGUAUUGUUUAAGACACAAUCACAUCCUCUACAAUUAUUAAUUCUAUAUUAUUAUUAUAAAUUAUUUAUAAUUAUUAUAAAUAGGUAAUUUUUUAAACCUUCUCUAUUUCUGCUAUUCAUAUUCUACCAAAUGAGGGUACAUUUUAACUCUACUUGAUGGUUCAGCACCUUUAAUUUCAAUACCAAUUGUAUAAUCAAUUCUCUGCCUGACAAUUUAUUCCUCACCUCUGGGAUUUACAUCUCUCCUUUAAUGUUUCCCAUGUACAACAAGAGUGACUUCUAUUAUGGGUACACAGAAAUCUUUUUCUUUGCUCCCCUAUCAUCCAUGAAUAAUUCCUGAAAUUCCUGAGUGAGGAUCUCUGCACUCCAGCAACUCCUAAAUAUUUUUGUUCUACACAGUUAUUUAUAUAAUUGUAGCUUUUAACAAAACAAUCUUAGAAUUUUCAUAAGUCAACAGCCAAAUGGUCUUAGAUGUAAUUUCCUUUUCCCUCUCAAGCAAGGAUGGAAAUGCCUAAUCUUCUAAAGUAACUUUAUUGAAGGUUAGUUAGCAAAACUGAUAACUUUUUAAAAACACAUUUUCCACCUCCUGUUAGUUUUUCAGUUUCCUCUUUACUCACAAGCUCAAAGCUGUCCCCAUGGGAUAAGAUCCCCUCUCCUUUCAUGAAACAGGAGAGAUAAGAACUUGCUGAUUCUAAUUUCUAAAAGGCCCCUAUUCCCAGUUAUCUGACAUUUUACAUUCCCUUCUCACAUUUUCCAGGCCUUGAGCACCAUCUCACACCAAGUCUGAUGCAGAGAAAUUUAGGAUCCUGAGUCCAGAUCGGGAGCCCUGACACCUGAGCAGCAGGAUGCUUGAGCAAGUCUGAAAGAAUUAUUACUGUCAUGAAUUCCAGCAAUUCAGCCUGAUAUUUCUCCAAGCCAGCAAUACAGAGACCGAAUUUCUUACUUCUCACAAGCUUGCUAACUUUUAACACAGAGCACAGGCUGCAAACCUGAUCAGACACACACAGAAAUCUAUUUCCUUUUUUUUUUUUAACAUACGAUUUUAAGCCUGAAAUACCCAGUUAGUCAUGGGAGCACCCUCCCAAUUUUUGUCCACUUUUUGGAUUCUAAUGAAGCCUGUUUCCCAGAAGAUUAUCCUCAAGGAUUCCUUGGGGCCUGUUUUUUUUUACUUCAUUAUUGUUGCCCCAUACCCACUCUCUGAUGCUGAGUCUUGACAUUUAAUUUAACCUUAAACAUUCACCUGAAUCUUGUCCCUUCUGGCUCACAGGUUCUUGCCAGAAGGGAUGCUCCAUUCCUAAGCAGUCAUCCUGAUGCUCACCUGGCUCCCAGGCUCUCUCACAUGUCUCUGGAUUGCACAUGCACAAUUUACAUGACUGGAAUGACCGAUUUUCUUUACUCUUUCACUUCUCUGGACAGUUUUGAACUCUUACUUCUGCUUCACCAAGUCUCUCCUUCUCUGGUCUUUCAACACACCAGUAGGUGACCCACUUUCCAGAUCCGAGACCACCAAAGUCCAACGGGUCGCUUAUCCCCAGUCUCAGAGAGAGAGAGAGAGAUCUCUCCCUAGCCUAGGUGGGCUUCAAAAUCCUGGAGGAAGCCCAUAAGCUGUGUGGGUCAAGACCACAGACUCCAAUAAUCAAGGAGAUUUAUCAAGGUAAAAGCAGAAAGGAGUUUUAUUAACUCCCCAGAAAGGAUGUCUCCCUCCCAACAAGCAGCCAGGCAAGGAGAGGGGAACUACAGGAGGAGAGCACCAAGUCAUAGACUGCCUGCCCCCAAGGCAGACAACCCCCUCCUCCUCCCCACUGGCAUCCACCAUCUCUCCAGUGACUUGGAAGGCAGGCUCACAAUCUAAAUGGGGAGAGCUAUCCCAGAUAUAAAGAAUAAGCAAAAUUCAGCCACUUCUGCCACUACAUCUCAUAAAAGCAUUCACAACUUUUGCUGAUGUGGCAAAGUCUUGGGAAAACCCUUAAGGCUGGGGGGACUUCCUGGAGCUCAGAUUUCUUCUCUUCUAAGUCAGACCAUUUUUGGUAAAUAAAACUGAGGGUUGUUUAACAAAACAAACAAACAAAAAAACCCUCAAACAAAUUUACCCUAGGGCCUCUGAGAAGUAGUCCCUCAUCAUGCUCAAUUGGCACCAAGAGGGAGUGCAGGGCUUGCCCGGCCUAUAAAUAGCAGGUGGGGGCCUGCUGCUCAGCCAGGAGUUGGCGCUAGCAGCAGUGGAGAGUUAGUUCUCUUUUUGCUCUGCAGAGGACUCCUGCUCUGCUUCUUCCCGGUCCAUCUGUCUCCCUCUUCCGUUUUUCAUUUCCCAACUUUUCUAUUCCCCUUUUUCUCCCAGACCACUUCUUGCCCCUCCCCCCCAUUUAUGUAUUAUGUACAAAACUUAUACAUGUUUUUCACUUGGAAAAUUGUUUCCCGUGUAAGAUUUGCCAUAAAAAGAAAAGAUUGGGAAGGGGGAAAGUGAGGUGUCCAGCCUGACACCUUGGGAACCGCUGUUAGAAUCUCUUUGAGGCAUGACCCCAGGACAGAGAUCUUCCUGUGGUCAAAACCUUUGUCUUUCCCACUUUUCUCUCUGUGUGGAAAACCAGGAGCCCCUGAAGGGGGAUGGAAUAGCCUAGUUUCUUAACCAGAACACUUGUGUCGACUGCAUUAGAGUUUGUAAGAAAAAUUUUUUUGCCCUCAAAAUUGGAAUCCCUUUUGAAUUCGAAGUUUUCUCCUUCUGGGGCAAAAUUCAAAUUAAAAAACAGUCCAAGAAAUGGAAUAGCUUCGUAAUGAAGUAUUUCUACUUUUUUUAUUUUGAUAUUUUCUGUACAACUCCCUGUUCUGCAAGUUACCUCUGCUAACUACAGCUUUCUGUAUUUUAAAUUGCUUACCAAACUAAAAAUGUCUUAAAUUACAGUGAGCAUUUCCAUACUUUAACCUCCUUCCAUUAGUGUCUGUUUUAUUGCUUUUGUCCACUUCAUCCUAAUUAAGGCUUACAUUACCUUUUUUGAAUUCUCAGGAUAUCAUUGGCUAUCUUAAGUGUGUAUGUGUGUGUUUUUUAAGCUUUUGUGAAUUUUAAAAUAAUACCUGGUUUCACUCUUCAGAAUUACAUAGAGGAAAUAUUCCCUCUACAGAAAAGUAUAAUAGAGAUCUGGGGGAAGUCUGCAGCAACUCAUAACAUCAUAUAACAUCAUAAUAUAGAUUUUUUUCUCCACAUCAAUUUUACAAUGAGGAAGAUGAUAAAAUAUGGUAAAGCCUAAAACUUGAUUGGUUUUCCUUCAAGUUGUGUUACUUUAUGAAAAUGAAUUUUUGAAAUAAUUUUAUAAAACUUAAAAAAUAUAUUUUAGGGUGACAUUUAUAUAAGUUCAUGAUAUUUUUCACUUCAGUUUCCUAAUAUAUCCUAUUCUAAUAUAAUUUCUUUGCCUCUUCAACAUCCCAAAGCAAAAAUGAAUGUACAACAUAUAAACAUAUAUAUAUAUAUAAACAUAUAAACAUAAGGAAAUAUGUUUAAAGGAAUGGUACGUAUUUAACAUAUGCUAGAUUGCAUGUGGUCUGCAUGUGGUCUGAGAAGCAGGGGAGGCGGUGAAUGGAAGGGAGAAAAAUUCGGUAACACAAAAGUUUUACAAAAAUAUAGAAAGCUAUAUAUGUAUUGGAAAAAUAAAAUACUAUUUAAAAAAUAAAACAAAUGUAUUUUUAAAAAAUCAAAAAGAAAACAAGCCAACAAACAAUCUGUUUGUAUAUUCCAUGCCCCUUUCACACUCAUUGCCCUCUAUCCUUUUAAAGGAGAAAGAAAAAUGGGGAGUUAUUUUUCUUUCUUCCCUGGAGCCCAAGUUGGUGAUAUUUUUAAGGACUAUUUUGUAAUUUUGUAGGUUUAGUAAGAUUGAUUUUUGCCCUUUGAAGUUUUGAUUUUAACACUUUUAAUUUGAUUUCAUUGUCUUGCUUGAACUCUCACGUUUACAAAAGCUAACCCUACAGUGGAUUUUCCUUUAUUUCUAAAAAGGAAAAUAUAAAGAUCCACUUGAUUAAAAAAAAAAAAAAAGAUAAAGACUAAAAUGAAUGUUUUCCCCACCAUUUUCCUGAAAGGCACCACACCAUCAUAAUCAUGAAUCUUUUGGGACUAGUUUGAAUCAAAUGAUUCCCAUACUUAAACAUUAUUAUUUCUUGCCUGAAUAAUGCUCUUCUGGCUUUUGCUCACUUCUGUUUGGAUCAGUUCAUGGAAUUCUUUACAGGUUUUUCUAAAAGCAUCUAUUUUAAGCACAGAAAUAUUCCAUUACAAUUAUAUAUCACAACUUGUUCAUUCCCAAAUUGCUGAGAAUCCUCUCAAAUUCUUUGCCACCUCAUAGGUUCUUUUCAUAUCUCUUUGGGAUAUAGAUCUAGAUGUGAGACUACUGGAUAACAAUAGCAAAAUCAUUUUUAGAGCCCUUUGACCAUAAUGAUUCCAAAUUUGUUACUGGAAUGUUUAGAUCAGUUUCUAACUCUACCAACAUCAAGAACAUGCAGGGGUCCUUGAACCAUGGUCCAUGGACCACUUAGAGGUUAAUGGAUCAAGGGAUUCAUUAACUUAGAUAGGGGAGGAGAUAUAUCAACACAACUUAACUUGUCAGUGAGAUAACUUUCUAUGAACCUCUGGUCUCAGUUUAGAUAAAAACAUUUGGAAAUGUAGGCCAUUUAUAGAAAAUGAAGAUUUUGAUUAAGUAGCUAAUACUGAUUAUCUAGUUUAAUUAUUCAUUUAUACCAUGCCAUACUGAUAUCACAUAAUAUAGUGGGUACCGAGACUUUUUUUUAAGUAUCUCUACCUUGUAUUAUACAACCUAUUUAAAAAAAAUGUUGAGAAAAUAAAGUUUCAGUGACAACUUAAAACUUAUGACAUAUUAUCAUAGUAAUUGGAAAUAUUUACAAAUAAUUAAGUUUGUUUAUUGUAAGUUUUUGAUUCAUGUAGUAUUCAGUGUAUUCACUGGUAUUUGGUGAAAAUUAAUGUGCACAUAUUUGCUAUGUAGGUAAGAUGUCCCAAGUUAUCUUUCCUUGUUUAAUGUCUUAUUGGAUAUGAAACUCAAGAGGAUGCGAACUUUUUUCAGGGGAAUGUUUUUUUUUUCCUUUUCACAAAUUGUUUUUCAGAGAGUUGUUUUCUUUUUUCAUUUCACUAAAUAUUUUGUAAUGAAUUUUCUGAAUUCAUUUCAUUUCUCUUUCAUUUUCCAAAACCCUCUUGCAAAGGUCUCAUUUUCUGUUUAUUUUUCUUCUAGCUCUCUUUUAAGAUCCUUUUAAAUUUCUUCUAGAAGCCUUGUGUGAUGGGGAUCAAUUUAUAUAUCACAACCCUUUGGGGCUUCAUGUGGAGAUGAUCUGCUAUUAAUCUUAGCAUUUUAAAUCUGUUCAUCUCUUUCACCAUAAAAACUAUGGUGAGUUUUUUUUUUUUUUUUUUUUUUUUUUUUUUUUUUUUCUUUUUUACUCUUUUUUUAAAAGUUCAGAUCUGCUUUUAGGACAAGGGAGAUUGUCCAAGCUUUUUCUACAAGUGGCAGCAGCUGCGCUGUGCUGACUUCCUGUGCUGGGUGGCUGUGGCCAAGUCCUGUGAAAUUCUAUUAUUUUAGGGUUCAUGUUUUACCUUUUGUGUUUGUGUUGGAUGUUUUAUAACUUCUCUGAUGAUCUACUGGUUUCCAACCAGGG